This 561-nucleotide long non-coding RNA is filed under the name Malus domestica (apple). RNAcentral's name for it is "long non-coding RNA (MDOM_LNC003248)". Lineage: Eukaryota; Viridiplantae; Streptophyta; Magnoliopsida; Rosales; Rosaceae. The record is from RNAcentral.
CGUGACAAAGCUCUCAGAGCUUUGAGACUCAAACUCAGAACAUGGGAUCUUAAUGUACUCUGAAACCAUCCUCUGGUCUUCAUUGUCAAUGUUUGGAUCUGGGAACUCUAACCUAUCUAAUUCACAUGACUCAGCUAUCUCCGAGUCCUGCACAAUAGGAUUUGAGGCCAGGGAGAUUACUUCUGGCAGAUCUCCAGCAUACGAGAGGGACAACUGGACAAACCCUGCUGGGGAAUGAAACAGAUCAGUUGAAGAAAGAGAGAACUCUUUCUCUAACUUCCCGUUCUUAAUGAGGACAUCUGACAAAGGCACCAAAGAAAACCCCAGCAACUGAUCUUGAAGAUAAUUCUUGACCCUGCUCAGCAUCCAAAUCUCGCAUUUGAGGGAGGAAUCAACAGUCCGAACAUUGAGCUGGACAUUAUCAUUGAAGACUGGAUUUCUACCACCACCGUUAAUGGUCUUGGUGGAGACUGUUUUUUCAGGAUCGCACGUCAGGCAUAGCUUAGCAUAGACAUCUUGCUUGUGGUAUAUGCAGAUGUUCUGGAUGUCCCUAGCCUGAUG